RNAcentral lists this ribosomal RNA (377 nucleotides) under uncultured eukaryote. RNAcentral's name for it is "partial 18S ribosomal RNA". It matches the Rfam family "Eukaryotic small subunit ribosomal RNA", at positions 592 to 976 of the family's 1831-position model. The record is from RNAcentral.
CAAUAGCGUAUAUUAAAGUUGUUGCAGUUAAAAAGCUCGUAGUUGGAUUUCGGGGUGGCCUGGCUGGUCCGCCGCAAGGUGAGUACUGGUCAGCCGCCCUUCCUCUCGAAAGCCCCGACUGCUCUUUACUGCAGUGGUCGGGUAGUUCGGGACGUUUACUUUGAAAAAAUUAGAGUGUUCAAGGCAGGCUAUCGCCUGAAUACAUUAGCAUGGAAUAAUGGAAGAGGACCUCGGUCCUAUUUUGUUGGUUUCUAGGGCCGAAGUAAUGAUUAAGAGGGACAGUUGGGGGCAUUCGUAGUUAAUUGUCAGAGGUGAAAUUCUUGGAUUUAUGAAAGACGAACUAGUGCGAAAGCAUUUGCCAAGGAUGUUUUCAUUAA